ACGUUCCCACAACAUACAUAGAUGUAACUCUAGAGAAAAACAGUAAAGGUUCCUGAAGAGGGUUUCUGAGGAAAUGGGCAAGAUGUUGAAGGAGGUUACAUGCAGCUGCUUGGGGGAGGGUAUUAGACUUGUCAGGCUGAGAGAGAGUGAGAAAAGCAAGUCGCAUGAAUGCAUGCAGAUUGUUUUACUAACGUCAUUAGCAUUUCCAUACAUUAAAAAGUCAUUAUAGUACCAGUCCUUAAAUCCCUAGUUCACAGUUGUUCACGUGGAAGAAGGAAAAGAAAAGCCAGCAAUGGCUGAUCUCUUUUUUCAUUAACUGAUACCAAGUCAGAAAAAAUGCAGAGCUGUCUUAAAGUUUGUCUUAUUUGGGCUGUCCAGUCGGACUGUCUUCAUCGAGCUCUGUUUUGAUUGGCUUUUAGACUCCUUGUCUGUUAGAACCCUUGCCAUUUGUCAGUGUCUGCCUGCACCACCUCUGUGCUUGCUUAACAUCCUGUUGCAUGUCUAGAGUGCUCUGGGCUUAGAGUUUUCAGGCAUGUCUCUGUAUUCCCCUGUUCUUGUCAAAGCUUUUGUUUCGUUUCGCAUUUGUAGCGCAGAUCACUUUGUCAGCCACCUCAGCACUAAUGUCCCAUCUUAGUGUUUGUGUAUGCUGCUAAAACUCCCCACCGCAAACAUUCCAGUUUUCACAUGAAGACAUAGUCUGUGAACCUGAAGUAUUUAUGAUAAGAAAAAGAAAACAUCUCUGCUCUAGCCUGCAGCCCAGUUAAAGACUCUGUGAAAUGUGACACAUCUUCAGCACCUCAGUCUGGGAGAAUCUGGUCAGCACUGA
Molecule: long non-coding RNA, 826 nt
Filed under: Rattus norvegicus (Norway rat)
Lineage: Eukaryota; Metazoa; Chordata; Mammalia; Rodentia; Muridae
Description: long non-coding RNA NONRATT016834
Source: RNAcentral